CAAUAGCGUAUAUUAAAGUUGUUGCGGUUAAAAGCUCGUAGUUGGAUUUCUGCUUGGGACGACCGGUCCGCCCUCAGGGGUGAGUAUCUGGCUUGGCCCGGGCAUCUUCUUGGGGAACGUUACUGCACUUGACUGUGUGGUGCGGGAGCCCAGGACCUUUACUUUGAGGAAAUUAGAGUGUUUCAAGCAGGCGUUUGCCUUGAAUACAUUAGCUAUGGAAUAAUAAGAUAGGACCUCGUCCCUACCUUGUUGGUUCGUAGAGAUGAGGUAAUGAUUAAUAGGGAUAGUCGGGGCAGUUCGUACUUAACUGUCAGAGGUGAAAUUCUUGGAUUUGUUAAAAGACGGACUACUGCGAAAAGCAUUUGCCAAGGAUGUUUUCAUUGAUCAAAGAAC
RNAcentral lists this ribosomal RNA (393 nucleotides) under uncultured eukaryote. RNAcentral's name for it is "SSU rRNA". It matches the Rfam family "Eukaryotic small subunit ribosomal RNA", at positions 592 to 984 of the family's 1831-position model. The record is from RNAcentral.